GCGCUCUUCCUUCGCCCAGGUUGUACGAGGUCCGCAUCCAGGCCUCGGUCCCUCGACCCUAGGGCUUUAGGGAACCGUUGCUGAACGGAUGUCGCCUUCCCAUCAAUGAGGAAAAGUUAGAGAGGAAGUAGGUUGCGUGGACAGAGCUCGCAGCAGGAGAAGGACUUGGGUGGGUCCCUAGAAAGCCAGACGUUCGUCGGAUGAACCUGAGGCGCGGAGGAGCGUCACCCAGAGUUCUGGGGCGCCGUUGGCUCUCACCCCAGGUUUCUGAACUGCGUGUUCCGUGAGCCCGUUUACGAAAUGAAAUCUCCUUUACCGAGAACCAGGAAGUGGGGCCAGCGCCUGGUGGACGCUUGUCGCAGAGACAGCUUUGCGAGCCUUCUCUCCAUUCUAAUUAGCUUGUUUCUCUAGCUUCCAAGUCUGCAGGCAAUUCAAAGUGGAGAGGGGUUGGAGGGUCAGGGAAUGAAUGAAUUGUUGUCAAGCAAAUCUCAUGCCCUCAAAAAUGUGCAGGGGUCAAGGAAGAACAUACUAAGUGGAAAGGAUAGAAGAUGAACAAACCCGUAACAUCAUCAACGUAUGUGCGCAGCCUCAACCUUGGACUAAUUAGGAAGCUGUCAGAUUUUAUUGAUCCUCAAGAAGGGUGGAAGAAGUUAGCUGUAGCUAUUAAAAAACCAUCUGGUGAUGAUAGAUACAAUCAAUUUCACAUAAGGAGAUUUGAAGCAUUACUCCAAACUGGAAAAAGUCCCACCAGUGAAUUACUCUUUGACUGGGGUACCACAAACUGCACAGUUGGUGAUCUUGUGGAUCUUUUGGUCCAAAAUGAGUUUUUUGCUCCUGCAAGUCUUUUGCUCCCAGAUGCUAUUCCCAAAACGGUUAACACGCUGCCGUCUAAGGAAGCCGCAACUGUUGAGCAGACGCAUUUGCCUUUCUGUGACAAAGACAGGACCUCUGCGAGGCCUGUGCAGAACCUUGACCAGAACUUCGUGCUACCCGACUCCUCAAGUCCAGACAACGCAAGCGGAGAAGUUAGUGAUACACGUUUUCACAGUUUUUCAUUUUAUGAACUGAAGAAUGUCACGAAUAACUUUGAUGAACGACCCCUAUCUGUGGGUGGUAACAAAAUGGGAGAGGGAGGAUUUGGCGUCGUGUAUAAAGGCUACGUGAACAACACAACCGUGGCUGUGAAGAAGCUGGCAGCGAUGGUUGACAUUAGUACGGAAGAACUAAAACAACAAUUUGAUCAAGAAAUAAAAGUAAUGGCAAAGUGUCAACAUGAAAACUUAGUAGAACUACUUGGUUUCUCAAGCGACGGGGAUGAUCUCUGCUUGGUCUAUGUUUAUAUGCCCAAUGGUUCACUGCUAGACAGGCUAUCUUGCCUGGAUGGUACCCCGCCACUUACUUGGCACAUGAGAUACAAGAUUGCUCAGGGUGCAGCUAGUGGCAUCAGCUUUCUACACGAAAACCAUCAUAUACACAGAGAUAUUAAAAGUGCAAAUAUCUUACUAGAUGAAGAUUUUACUGCCAAAAUAUCUGACUUUGGGCUCGCACGGGCUUCUGAGAAGUUUUCCCAGACAGUCAUGACUAGCAGAAUCGUGGGAACAACGGCGUAUAUGGCACCUGAAGCUUUGCGAGGGGAAAUAACACCCAAAUCUGACAUUUACAGCUUCGGUGUGGUUUUACUAGAAAUAAUAACUGGACUUCCGGCUGUGGAUGAGCACCGUGAACCUCAGUUAUUGCUAGAUAUUAAAGAAGAAAUUGAAGAUGAAGAAAAGACAAUUGAAGAUUAUGUUGAUACAAAGAUGAAUGAUGCUGACUCUACUUCAGUUGAAGCUAUGUACUCGAUUUCUAGUCAAUGUCUUCAUGAAAAGAAAAAUAAGAGGCCAGAUAUUAAGAAGGUUCAACAGAUGCUACAAGAGAUGACAGCUUCUUAGAACUUUAUUGGGACAGAUUUUUGACUUUUUAUAUACAGCUAUAUAAACUGCUUUUUAAACUAGUUUUUUUCCUAAACAUUAUUUACCUUUACCUUACCAAGGGAGCCUGGUGCAAUGCAGUGGUUAUUAAAGGAUGGGUUGAAUUUAUUUUGAACACAAAAUAAAUAAAGGCAGACCCACCAUGUCAAAACUUGACUCUACACACUUAAUAUUGCCCUCGAUUCAUGAAGUAAUCCCUGAAACGUCUCCUGUGAACAUUAUCAAACACUGUUUGAAAACUGUAUGAUUAGUGAAAAUAAAACAGGCUAUAGGGUGAAAAGACCCUGGUCUGAAGCCUAACUGACUCUACUGCUAAUUAGCUGUAAAGCUUUGGGCAAACUCUUAGCAGCUGUGAGGUUUGGCUUUUUCACUUACAACAUUGGACUAAUAAUCUGCUGAGCCUCUCUGAUCAGUAGUCAUAAAAAUCAAACGAUGCAAAAUAUAUACAAGCACUUUGCAAUCUGUAAAGUACAUAAAAUUUAAAGUUUAUAGAGAUAACUAUAAAGUCCUGUUAUAGCAGGAUGGUUUAUAGAAUCAUGUUUACGGUAUGUUAUUUUAAGCAAUCAUUCAUCACAAACCAAAUAUCCCUUAAUGAUGCUGCUAAUGAUAAUGAUAUGUAUGAAGGAAUUUUGCAGAUGUAAUUAAGGUUCUCAAUCAACUGAUUUUGAGUAUCAAAAGGGAGGCUUUUGAGUGGGCCUGACUUAACCAGGAGAACCCUUGCAAGAGGCCAGAGAGCUUCUCCUGUGGGCCUUGAAGAAGUACCACAUUGUAAAAAGUCCACAUUGGCUAAAUCCUACAGAUGGGAGAUGAAAACCACCCUCUAGCUGUCAAUAACCAGGAAAAAAAAAAAAGGGACCUCAGUUGUACAACCACAAGGAAUUGAAUUCUACCAACAACCUGAAUGAACUUAGAUAAAUACUCCAAGUUUCAGGUAAUAACCACACUCUGAGCUGAUGCUUAGAUUUCAGCUUUGCAAAACCCUCCAAGUGACAAUCUAUCUGAGCCAUGCCUGGACCUGACUUAAAAAGCUGUGAGAUGAGAACAAAUGGGGUUGUGCUGAGUCACUAAGUUUAUGGUGAGGAAAUUGAAGUGACAUAAACUGGUGAAGAUGAUGCAGCUAAUAAAGUGCAGAGUUUGGAUUCUCAGGCAUCUGGCAUCAGUCUGUAACCUCCACCACUAUACCAUUCCCUAUGUUAUCUUACUAGUUACAAUCAUUUUCUCUAUCAUGUGUUGACAACUGUUGUUCCAAGCAUCAUGCUAAAUGCUUUAUGAGUUAAUAAAUAAUUCU
RNA transcript from Otolemur garnettii (small-eared galago), 3258 nucleotides. It is a transcript of the gene named interleukin 1 receptor associated kinase 4, with no coding region annotated. The record is from RefSeq and is a predicted model, not a curated record. The transcript is spliced from 14 exons. NCBI's taxonomy places the organism in Eukaryota, Metazoa, Chordata, Mammalia, Primates, Galagidae.